RNAcentral lists this ribosomal RNA (490 nucleotides) under uncultured bacterium. RNAcentral's name for it is "bacterial SSU rRNA". It matches the Rfam family "Bacterial small subunit ribosomal RNA", at positions 28 to 515 of the family's 1533-position model. The record is from RNAcentral.
GAUGAACGCUGGCGGCGUGCUUAACACAUGCAAGUCGAACGAAGCAUUUAAGACAGAUUUUUUCGGAAUGAAGUUUUUAUUGACUGAGUGGCGGACGGGUGAGUAACGCGUGGGUAACCUGCCUCACACAGGGGGAUAGCAGUUGGAACGACUGGUAAUACCGCAUAAGCGCACAGCUUCGCAUGAAGCGGUGUGAAAAACUACCGGUGGUGUGAGAUGGACCCGCGUCUGAUUAGGUAGUUGGUGAGGUAACGGCCCACCAAGCCGACGAUCAGUAGCCGACCUGAGAGGGUGACCGGCCACAUUGGGACUGAGACACGGCCCAGACUCCUACGGGAGGCAGCAGUGGGGGAAUAUUGGCACAAUGGAGGAAACUCUGAUGCAGCGACGCCGCGUGAGUGAAGAAGUAUUUCGGUAUGUAAAGCUCUAUCAGCAGGGAAGACAGUGACGGUACCUGACUAAGAAGCUCCGGCUAAAAUACGUGCCAAGC